Molecule: ribosomal RNA, 254 nt
Filed under: uncultured bacterium
Lineage: Bacteria
Description: partial 16S ribosomal RNA
Rfam family: Bacterial small subunit ribosomal RNA
Source: RNAcentral
UACGGGGGGAGCAAGCGUUGUUCGGAUUUACUGGGCGUAAAGAGCGCGCAGGCGGUCGUUCAAGUCGCGUGUGAAAGCCCCCCGGCUCAACUGGGGAGGGUCACGCGAUACUGAUCGACUCGAAGGCAGGAGAGGGUAGUGGAAUUCCCGGUGUAGUGGUGAAAUGCGUAGAUAUCGGGAGGAACACCAGUGGCGAAGGCGACUACCUGGCCUGUUCUUGACGCUGAGGCGCGAAAGCUAGGGGAGCAAACGGG